Molecule: ribosomal RNA, 251 nt
Filed under: uncultured bacterium
Lineage: Bacteria
Description: partial 16S ribosomal RNA
Rfam family: Bacterial small subunit ribosomal RNA
Source: RNAcentral
GCAAGACGAGGGGUAACAUUGGUGCUUGCACCACAUGACGACCGGCGCACGGGUGAGUAACGCGUAUACAAUUUGCCUUAUACAGGGGGAUAGCCUUUAGAAAUGAAGAUUAAUACCCCAUAGUACAUAUAUAUCGCCUGGUAUUUAUGUUAAAGAUUUAUUGGUAUAAGAUGAGUAUGCGUUCUAUUAGCUAGAUGGUAAGGUAACGGCUUACCAUGGCAACGAUAGAUAGGGGCCCUGAGAGGGGGAUC